AUUGAACGCUGGCGGCAGGCCUAAUACAUGCAAGUCGUGCGAGCGGCGGACGGGUGAGUAAUGCCUGGGAAACUGCCUGAUGGAGGGGGAUAACUACUGGAAACGGUAGCUAAUACCGCAUACCAUCAGAUGUGCCCAGAUGGGAUUAGCUGGUAGGUUGGGUAACGGCUCACCUAGGCGACGAUCCCUAGCUGGUCUGGGAGGAUGACCAGCCACACUGGAACUGGUACACGGUCCGGAAUCCUACGGGAGGCAGCGGUGGGGAAUAUUGCACAAUGGACGCAAGCCUGAUACAGCAAUGCCGCGUGUAUGAAGAAGGCCUUCGGGUUGUAAAGCACUUUCAGCGGGGAGGCGUUACCCGCAGAAGAAGCACCGGCUAACUCCGUGCCAGCAGCCGCGGUAAUAC
Molecule: ribosomal RNA, 406 nt
Filed under: uncultured bacterium
Lineage: Bacteria
Description: partial 16S ribosomal RNA
Rfam family: Bacterial small subunit ribosomal RNA
Source: RNAcentral